Long non-coding RNA from Solenopsis invicta (red fire ant), 1340 nucleotides. RefSeq lists it as uncharacterized. The record is from RefSeq and is a predicted model, not a curated record. NCBI's taxonomy places the organism in Eukaryota, Metazoa, Arthropoda, Insecta, Hymenoptera, Formicidae. The transcript has 2 exons.
AUAUUAUUAUCUCGACUGAUAAUAUUAUGAUAAUAAAUGUUUCUUAAUUACAACUUCUGCAGAAGUAAAAUAAUGUGUUCUACUUGAGUUCAUGCCAACAUUACAUUAUUGGUAAUAAAAUGAAGAGAUUACAAUUUCAAUUGAAGAGGCAAGAUCGACGAUGCACUGUAUUGUAAAUUAUGCCAUGUCACAGAUGAAUUUUUUUGUCCUGUGGUGCUCGCCAGCCGCCGAAUGUUCUUUCAAUUUCUUGUGCUACAGCAAUCGUCAAAUGGUCACAACCUGGAUUUGCAGCGAUCUACAGAAGAAUAAAGAUAAAACUAAUUAAAAUAUAAACUCAUAAUCAAUUCUUACACAGAAUGAAGUCGAUGAUUACAAAGUUCAAAAAUUUAUUAAAAGUAAAUCUGGAUGUAGCACAGUAUACAUUUAACACUUUCUACACACGUUGUUUCUUAGCACACAUUUUUUUUACCACAAACAUUGAACCACACUUCUUAGUAAAUUUUUAGUAGUAGUAGUAAUAACAUAGUGGGACCAUAUAGUCACCAAAGUCACCUAGAUCCUUGCGAUUCCUCUGUGACUAUUCACUAUUCCACAAGGCUGGCUUUAAUAAAUUGAAUUGGUUACCAAUCUAAAGUUAAAAAGAUAUGCCCUUAGGGCAACAUGUCCUGUUAGGAGCCUUAUUCUGAACCUCUUAUUGCUUUUUUUAUAAGUAUUUUACAAGUACAAAAAAAUAGCAAUAAUUUUUAAAAAAAUAUUUUAACAUUUCUAGAAAAUAUUUAUAUGAAUGUUUAAUUUAAAAAAAUUGUAUAUAAAUGUUAUAACUAUAAUUAGUGCUUUUAAUUUUUGAAAGAAAUUGCAGAAUAAAAUUGUCCUAUUAUGUGUAUAAAGUGUUAAAUAUUGAUCAUAGUAAUAUUAAUGGAAAAAAGAAAAUUAUGUUUAUUUCACACUUUUAUCGUAAAAUAAUUGUUUUCUUUUGGUUGUAUGAUCACCAAAUCUGUUUCUCGAUUUAUAUAGAUGAACUUAUUCGUUAAUUUAUGCAGAGUGCGGCGGUUUUUUUACCUGAAGUCCAAUUGGCAUUUGAUUUUUGUCAAAACCAAGUGGACACUGCGUGACUGGAAAUCCCAGGACAUUGAAGAUCAUCAUGUAUGGACAAUUGUUUAUGUUAUACACACUUUCCUGAGGAUAAAUCGCUGACGAGCUAAAAGAUGGACAAAUUAAAACGCCGUCAUUGCCCAGUAGUUCCUAAUUAAAUGCCAAUGAAAUAUUUUAGUAUCAAUAUAAAUCAAAUAUAAUAAUAUAUCAUACAGAUUAAAAGUUUAAAAAAUGCGUUCUACCUCAAA